RNAcentral lists this long non-coding RNA (263 nucleotides) under Elaeis guineensis (African oil palm). Its description in RNAcentral is "long non-coding RNA (EGUI_LNC049595)". Lineage: Eukaryota; Viridiplantae; Streptophyta; Magnoliopsida; Arecales; Arecaceae. The record is from RNAcentral.
AGUUGGAGAAGAAUGAGUCACUAUAUUUCAAUUUAGCAAAAUCUUGGCCAGGAUAAUCCAUCAGAUGGAUUUGAUAUUUUGAAAUACAAUGUGGACAACCAGAUUAGAGUUGACAGUUGAACUCUGGAGUAUCCUAUGAUCAUUUUGGUCAAGGGGAUGAAUUAUAUGAAAACUAUAUCCGCAUGGGUUCUAAGGAUGUUGUUCUACACAUUCGACCUAUCCGGUCGUCGGGUAUCAUUGCUAGAUGGUCACUUCGAUUGGUA